This 513-nucleotide ribosomal RNA is filed under the name Paguristes miyakei. RNAcentral describes it as "partial 16S ribosomal RNA". It matches the Rfam family "Bacterial large subunit ribosomal RNA", at positions 1829 to 2597 of the family's 2925-position model. Lineage: Eukaryota; Metazoa; Arthropoda; Malacostraca; Decapoda; Diogenidae. The record is from RNAcentral.
AUCUGUUUGAAGGUGUAUAGAGUCUGGCCUGCCCACUGAGUAGUUUAAAGGGCCGCGGUAUUCUGACCGUGCGAAGGUAGCAUAAUCAUUAGUCUUUUAAUGGAAGGCUUGUAUGAAUGGUUGGACGAGAAAUAAGCUGUUUUUUAUUUAAAUUUUAAAUUUAACUUUUAAGUGAAAAGGCUUAAAUCUAACAAAAAGACGAUAAGACCCUAUAAAUCUUUACAUUACUUUAGAAUUAAAGUCAAUUAGAAGUAAAAAUCUGUUUAUUUUUAAGAAUGUUUUGUUGGGGCGACGUAAAUAGCUAAUAAUCUGUUUAGAAAAAUUACAAGAUAUAUUUGAGUUUAAAAUUAAGAUCCUUGUUAUAGAUUGUAAGAUUAAGUUACUUUAGGGAUAACAGCGUUAUUUUGUUUGAGAGUUCAUAUCGAAAACAAAGUUUGCGACCUCGAUGUUGAAUUAAAAAUUCUUUAUGGUGCAGCAGCUAUAAGAGAAAGUCUGUUCGACUUUUAAAUUUUU